RNAcentral lists this unclassified non-coding RNA (26 nucleotides) under Dictyostelium discoideum. Lineage: Eukaryota; Evosea; Eumycetozoa; Dictyosteliales; Dictyosteliaceae. The record is from RNAcentral.
CUGAAUUUUAGUAGAUCCGCAAUACA